ACCGGGCCCAGGGUGUCCAUUGUUCUCUCGAAGCAACUGAGAAUUGUGGAUAUUCUUCAUUAUUCCAUCAUCAUCUCAAACCUCUUGGGUAUAGUGUUUGACUGCUACUGUGACCAUAAAUUCCAAUAAAACCUAGGAAAAAAUGAAACCACUACAUUAACUGAAAGGAAAGCUCAAGUGAUAGAAAUAACACAGGACAGGAAGUAAGACAGUUCUCGUCUGAAGUUCUUCUCUGACAGCCCACAAACUAGCUAAUAUGCCAGAGUUAAUGAACACCUGAAUCUGCAAAUAUGAUUUGAAUAGGAAAGAAUGGGCAGAUACAAGACAUAUUGUGAGGGGAAUCUGAGGUUUGAGUAAAAGAUUUCUUGCCAUCCUAAAGGAAAAGAGUUGAGAUGAAGGAAUGAGUCAUAAAAUUAAUAUGAAGAUUUUUACAUCUACAGUCUUAAGAGUAAUCGGAUUUUGAAAAUUUGACCAAAAUAUAGGCCUCUUCAGCCAUCAGAAGGACACU
RNAcentral lists this long non-coding RNA (508 nucleotides) under Pan troglodytes (chimpanzee). RNAcentral describes it as "lincRNA". Lineage: Eukaryota; Metazoa; Chordata; Mammalia; Primates; Hominidae. The record is from RNAcentral.